RNAcentral lists this long non-coding RNA (532 nucleotides) under Homo sapiens (human). Its description in RNAcentral is "HSALNT0052011". The record is from RNAcentral. Lineage: Eukaryota; Metazoa; Chordata; Mammalia; Primates; Hominidae.
GGCACUUAGUAGAUGCCUGAGGUUGGAUUCCCUAAAAGCAGAGCCUGAAGUGUGUAUUCUUGUGCACACGAGUUUUGAGUGUUCCCUGGAGUGAAGGAAGGAGUGAAGCAAGGCCUCUGCUCAAGAUCACCUUCAGCCUGAUGCCAUGGUAUAAAAUGGACUAUAACAUGAGAACAAAUAACUACGACAUUGUGCUACAAUCUACAGCAGGAAGACAGAUAACAGUGCAGAAGACAGAUAAUAGUGAGAAAGAAAAAGAAAGAUGAAAAUACACUCAAAAAUCAUAGCCCUUCUUUUUCAGGGUUAUAAAUCUACCAUCGCCACCAUCACCAUCUAAGGAGACCCCCAUACAUGAUGCCACUUUAAGAGGAGAGGCCCCCUCUCCAUGCCUUACCUGGAAUGUAUGCUUGAAGUCUUAGACUUAUUCAGAAGCUUCCUGAAACAGCUGCUUUACACAAACUGGAAGUGUGGGGGAGUUAAAAUGUUGUUGGAUUUCACACCCAUUAGAAUAACUACUAUUAAAAAAACCCCA